This 429-nucleotide ribosomal RNA is filed under the name Acidobacteriota bacterium. Its description in RNAcentral is "Acidobacteria bacterium partial 16S ribosomal RNA". It matches the Rfam family "Bacterial small subunit ribosomal RNA", at positions 355 to 776 of the family's 1533-position model. Lineage: Bacteria; Pseudomonadati; Acidobacteriota. The record is from RNAcentral.
UGGGGAAUUUUGGACAAUGGGGGAAACCCUGAUCCAGCCAUCCCGCGUGUGCGAUGAAGGCCUUCGGGUUGUAAAGCACUUUUGGCAGGAAAGAAACGUCAUGGGUUAAUACCCCGUGAAACUGACGGUACCUGCAGAAUAAGCACCGGCUAACUACAUGCCAGCAGCCGCGGUAAUACGUAGGGUGCAAGCGUUAAUCGGAAUUACUGGGCGUAAAGCGUGCGCAGGCGGUUCGGAAAGAAAGAUGUGAAAUCCCAGAGCUCAACUUUGGAACUGCAUUUUUAACUACCGGGCUAGAGUGUGUCAGAGGGAGGUGGAAUUCCGCGUGUAGCAGUGAAAUGCGUAGAUAUGCGGAGGAACACCGAUGGCAAAGGCAGCCUCCUGGGAUAACACUGACGCUCAUGCACGAAAGCGUGGGGAGCAAACAGG